UUAGCUCAACAGCAUAAGCACCUGCCUUGCAAGCGAGUUUGACCCCUGGUACUGAUAAAAAAAUUAAAAUAAAAAUAAAUUUGAACCUUUAAAAGGAAAGACAGAUACUUUAUUUUUGAGAUUUAGAAACACCUUAAAAAGUUAAAAAAUGGGAACGAAUCAGCUUCACAGGCAGUUUGAAUCUUGCAUAAACUUUUUUGGUUCGUGGGUCUUCUCUUUGAGCUUUUGUGUCAUUUUUAGUGAAUACUAGAUCUCUCUGCUAUUUGCUCUGUGAGGCAGAUGCAAGGAGUUACUCAGAUCACCAAAAUGCUCUUAUGAAGAUUCAGACUGCUGGACUCUGACUCCAUCUCACCUGCAGAUCCUUAAAGUUUCUUCUUCUGGUUUCAACUUACUGUGUAUUUAGUGUACAAACAAUAAAACCCAGGGAUCUGAGAGCAAACCGAAGUUCUCCAGAAAAAUCCUAAGAAAACCUCCAGCAUGAGUAGCUACUACCGACGGUUGAGUGAAUUCUCAAGUAAGUAGCAAAUGAUUUCAAAUGUGUGCUGCUUGCAGUGGACCGCUGCCAGGAGAGAAGCGAAAAUAAACUGGUGACAGGAAGUGUCACAGUUCAUGGAAAGGGCAGUGAGGACACAGCGGAGUAAGCCCGGGACACCUCUGGGUCCACAUGCUGAAAAACUUCCCCAGACAGGCUGCACAGCCACAAAUCUCCCAGUAAUUCAUUAAGUAGGGGGAAACGCUCCCAGAAACAUUUCUCUCUUUUCCUAACACCCUUUGUCUCUUAAUUUCCAAACUCUGAGUUCAUUCCUAUGUCAAGUAAGCCUGGCUGAGUCUCUCUAAACAACUCCUUCUCUAAGUGAUUUAACAGCCCGAGGUUUCCAAGCGUUGGGAUCACAAGAUGGAUAUAUGAUCAGUGAGAACUAGAAAGAGCAUCAAAACAGCAUGAAGAAUGGUGGAAACCAAAGUGAAUCAUGUGGAACUUUGCCCAGUAAAGGGAUUACAAGGCUUGGAAGGAGCAUUUCAAGGAUAAAAUAUUAUAUUAAAAGUUAGUCAUAAGAUAAAAUGACAUAGUCAAGGUUAAUCAUAUCAGUAAAUGUAAAUGAAUUUAAUUUACACUUAUUACUAAAAAAGGAUUCACCAAAAAAGAUUUGCAAAUGGCUAACAGCAAAAUUCAACACUCCUUUUUACAUAAGAAACACUUCUAAAACAGGAGAUUCUGAAAGGUUAAAAAUAAAGCAGUAGACAGCUAUCAAGCUAAUUUCAAACUAAGUUUUAAGAGUUGCAAUUUUGAUGUUUAAACAGAUGAAACUCAAACCAAAAAGCACUAAAUAAGACAAAGAAGGAGACUUUAGAACGUGAAAGGCCAUAAGUCACAAUGAAGGUAAACCUGUUAUUAGUGUUUAUGCAAAAAACAACUGGGAACAUAAGAAAAACAGAAAACCAUUAGUAAUAAGAGAUUUUAAUGGAUCUCUCUGAAGACUGAUCAAGUGUGCAGGAAGGACACAGAAAGCCAAAGUCAUAACCAACAAGGUGGAUCCUACACAUCUACAGAGAAAUCUGAAUCUCAUAGUAGAGAAAACACUUUUUUUUUCAAAUGACUACAUCUUCAGCCACAAAGAAAACUUCAAUAAAUUCUAAAGAAUUGAAGAAUAUUUUCUGAUCAUAAUGUAAUAAAACUAAUAAUUUUUAAUAAAAUAAAAAAGGAUAUCAUCUCUGAAAAUUUUCAAAAUAAGUUAAAAAACAGUUCUUAAGAAUUAGAAGUGCAAUAUACAGAAUUUUGUGAAAAUAACAAUAAAUGACAAGUAAGUCUACACUAUUCAGCUAAAGUAAUUAAUAGAGAAAAAUAUUCAAUGUUAAAUAUCUAUGUCAAUAAAACUAAAGACAAAUGAACUCUACCUUCUAUUCAGAAAGCAAGAUCCUGAAAGCUUCUUUCUUCAGUAAGCUAAAGGAAUUUAGUAGGAAUUAAUUAUAAAGAUGGAAGCAAAAAUAAUAAAUUAGUUAACCGAACUAGUAAUUAACCUGAAACAAUCGACUGAAACAAUCAAAAAAGUACACAAAUAACCAUCAGGAAAAUACAGGGGAGAAAAUACAGACACACAGAAUUAGGAACACUGGCCACUGGUGAGUGAAACCAAAGCAGAGGAACUAAAAUAAAAACAUAAGAGACUGUUUUUCUCAACUCUACACAAAACUAUUUGAAAACCUAGAUGAAGAGGAUAGUUUUCUACAAUAAUACAGCCUACCAAAAUUGGUCUUAGUAGAGACUCAGUUCUAAAAGACCAAUUAUCACAGAAGAAAUAAAGUUAAGCAAAAACUCCCUCACACAAAAAAGCACUGGCUCAAAAGGUUUCAUGGGAGGAAAUGCUAUCAAAUCUUUAAGGAUCAAGUGGUCUCAGUGUUGUUUAAUCAUUGAAGAAGAAGCGAAGAGAAAGGAGUAAAGCUUUAGAUAAUGCGAGCAUUAACAAGAAGAGCAACUGCAACGACAAAUGUAAAUAUGUUUAUACUGAGUUAGUGUAAAUCCCGGCUGGUAACGCUACCAAAACAAAACAACAAAAUUCACAGGUCAUCUCUAGAAAAUAUCAAGGAUUAUUAUUUUGGUUUUAUUUUAAUGGUUCUGGAGAUGAACCCAGGGCCUUGUACAAGUCAGGCGAGCAAUUACUCCUGAGCCAUGUACUCCCAGUCUGGAAUCUGUAUUUUGAAACCUGGACACAAAGAGUCAAGCAUUCGUACUGGUUUUCCCACAUGAGUUACAUGUCAUGAUAAAGAUGCAUAUCCCUUUGUAGAAAAUUUUAGCUAAUAAAUGAAAAGUUCUAAUAGGUAUAGAAUAUCACUUUUUAAACCCUAACAAAAUCUGUGGGUCUGCUAUAAUCAUUGAAGAGGGCUUACUUCUCAAACAGAGGACAAGAGACAGACAUCAUGUGUUUCCCAGUGGAAGUCUAUCAUACCAUCCAUCAUAUAUUCUUGGCACAAAAUCAAACUUGAAUAUGACCAAGUCUCUAGAACUACUGAUUUACAAGAAAUACAGUUCAGAGGAAAAUGCUAAAUAAUACCAGAGGUAUGCAAUCAGCGAAAUCCAGAGUACGGAAACUCUGUAGGACAAAUGAACCGGCCUCCUAAACAAAUGGAUUUGCUGGGAAAGAAGAGAUGGAGGGGAAAUCUAUACAUUAAAAGAAAUUUAAGAAACUUUAGCCAACCCAACAUGUGCAUGCAAUUUGGAUCCUGACUCAAACAAAUUGUAACAUUUAUGUGAUACCUAGGGGAAAUUUGGCUGCUGGUAAUAUGAUGAUAUUAAAUAUUUAUUGUUAAUUUUUAAA
Long non-coding RNA from Cavia porcellus (domestic guinea pig), 3311 nucleotides. RefSeq lists it as uncharacterized. The record is from RefSeq and is a predicted model, not a curated record. The transcript has 3 exons. NCBI's taxonomy places the organism in Eukaryota, Metazoa, Chordata, Mammalia, Rodentia, Caviidae.